Molecule: ribosomal RNA, 844 nt
Filed under: Bacillus sonorensis
Lineage: Bacteria; Bacillati; Bacillota; Bacilli; Caryophanales; Bacillaceae
Description: bacterial SSU rRNA
Rfam family: Bacterial small subunit ribosomal RNA
Source: RNAcentral
UGAUGUUAGCGGCGGACGGGUGAGUAACACGUGGGUAACCUGCCUGUAAGACUGGGAUAACUCCGGGAAACCGGGGCUAAUACCGGAUGCUUGAUUGAACCGCAUGGUUCAAUUAUAAAAGGUGGCUUUUAGCUACCACUUACAGAUGGACCCGCGGCGCAUUAGCUAGUUGGUGAGGUAACGGCUCACCAAGGCAACGAUGCGUAGCCGACCUGAGAGGGUGAUCGGCCACACUGGGACUGAGACACGGCCCAGACUCCUACGGGAGGCAGCAGUAGGGAAUCUUCCGCAAUGGACGAAAGUCUGACGGAGCAACGCCGCGUGAGUGAUGAAGGUUUUCGGAUCGUAAAACUCUGUUGUUAGGGAAGAACAAGUACCGUUCGAAUAGGGCGGUACCUUGACGGUACCUAACCAGAAAGCCACGGCUAACUACGUGCCAGCAGCCGCGGUAAUACGUAGGUGGCAAGCGUUGUCCGGAAUUAUUGGGCGUAAAGCGCGCGCAGGCGGUUUCUUAAGUCUGAUGUGAAAGCCCCCGGCUCAACCGGGGAGGGUCAUUGGAAACUGGGGAACUUGAGUGCAGAAGAGGAGAGUGGAAUUCCACGUGUAGCGGUGAAAUGCGUAGAGAUGUGGAGGAACACCAGUGGCGAAGGCGACUCUCUGGUCUGUAACUGACGCUGAGGCGCGAAAGCGUGGGGAGCGAACAGGAUUAGAUACCCUGGUAGUCCACGCCGUAAACGAUGAGUGCUAAGUGUUAGAGGGUUUCCGCCCUUUAGUGCUGCAGCAAACGCAUUAAGCACUCCGCCUGGGGAGUACGGUCGCAAGACUGAAACUCAAAGGAAUUGAC